GAUCUCUGGUAUACAAAUUUGAUUCCAGAAACAGAAGAAACAAAAACAAAAACACUUUUCCACUUACCUCUUCCCAGUUCGUUUUCUACCGAAUCUCAAAUAGGUCUACCCAACUCUCUCUCUCCCUCGCUCUCUUCGUACACCUAUCCUACGGACUCAGCUUUGGGUUUCACCGCCAAAGAAUCUCUCGUCAAUUCCAGAUUCAACAGGUGUGUUUUCAUGCAUAUUGUAUAUUAUUUGGAGUAGAGAAUAAACUCAAGUGCAAUGCAAAAGGAUCAGAAUAUGAGUGUGUCACCAACACCUACUGCUCGAAUUCGACAUCGUAGACGUUCCAAUGAGGUUCCUUCUGAAUUUGGCAAAUCAAAUGGAAGCCAUUUACUUGUUAAUGAUCACAACAAAUACAAAUCUAUGUGGAUUCGGGCAUAUUCAUCCAUGUGGAUGAUUGGGGGCUUCAUAGCUAUUAUCUACUUGGGUCAUCUUUAUAUUUGGGCCAUGGUUGUUGUUAUCCAAAUAUUUAUGGCAAGAGAACUAUUCAAUCUGCUAAGAAGAGCACAUGAAGAUAAGCAUCUUCCAGGAUUCAGGCUCUUGAAUUGGCAUUUUUUCUUCACAGCAAUGCUGUUCGUAUAUGGCCGUAUUCUCAGUCAACAGCUUGUGAAUACUAUGAGUACAGAUAAAUUCUUCUAUAAGCUCGUGAGCGGCCUUCUCAAGUAUCAGAUGGUUAUUUGUUAUUUCUUAUAUAUUGCAGGUUUCAUGUGGUUUAUUCUUACAUUAAAGAAGAAGAUGUACAAGUAUCAAUUUGGCCAGUAUGCAUGGACACACAUGAUUCUUAUUGUGGUGUUCACGCAGUCCUCAUUUAUUGUAGGCAAUAUCUUUGAAGGGAUUUUCUGGUUCCUUCUCCCGGCAUCACUUAUUGUUAUUAAUGACAUUGCUGCAUAUUUCUUUGGUUUCUUCUUUGGAAAAACGCCUUUGAUCAAACUCUCUCCAAAGAAAACAUGGGAAGGUUUUAUUGGAGGAUCAGUUGCAACUGUGAUCUCAGCAUUUGUGCUCGCAAACAUUCUGGGCCAUUUCCCGUGGCUGACAUGUCCGAGGAAGGAUUUAUCAACUGGUUGGCUUCGAUGUGAUCCUGACCCACUUUUUAAGCCAGAGCAUUAUCCUUUACUAGAAUGGGUUCCACAAUGGUUUCCUUGGAAAGAGAUUUCAGUUUUGCCGGUGCAGUGGCAUGCUUUAUGCUUGGGUUUGUUUGCAUCAAUUAUAGCACCCUUUGGUGGCUUUUUUGCUAGUGGUUUCAAGAGAGCUUUCAAAAUCAAGGAUUUUGGAGAUAGUAUUCCUGGACAUGGUGGAAUUACAGACAGAAUGGAUUGUCAGAUGGUGAUGGCCGUGUUUGCUUACAUCUACCACCAGUCAUUUGUUGUUCCUCAAAGCUAUUCGGUUGAGAUGAUUUUGAACCAGAUAUUAAGGAACCUUACUUUCGAGGAGCAGCACGCACUGUACAUGAAGCUUGGGCAGAUAUUCCAGGAGAGGCAAUUAGGGCUUUCUUCUAGCAGCAUGUCCUCUUAUGUAAUGUAAUCAUCCAGCAUCCCGUGCAUCUGGUAUUGUCUUCCCAAGAGCAACCCAUUUGAAAUGUGAGGUCCAAGGUUCAAUCUUUUCGGAAGGCAGGCGCUACAGCUUUUGUUUUAUAUGUUUUAAGCAUUUAAAUUUAAAACCCAAGUGCUCUUCAAGAGCUCAUGGAAAAAUCAGAACAUAUAUGAUCUAAGAGUAUCUUUUACAAUGGUGAA
Molecule: RNA transcript, 1775 nt
Organism: Vitis vinifera (wine grape)
Lineage: Eukaryota; Viridiplantae; Streptophyta; Magnoliopsida; Vitales; Vitaceae
Gene name: phosphatidate cytidylyltransferase 1
Exons: 13
Source: RefSeq, a predicted model, not a curated record